RNAcentral lists this ribosomal RNA (488 nucleotides) under uncultured bacterium. RNAcentral describes it as "bacterial SSU rRNA". It matches the Rfam family "Bacterial small subunit ribosomal RNA", at positions 28 to 496 of the family's 1533-position model. The record is from RNAcentral.
GAUGAACGCUAGCGGCAGGCUUAAUACAUGCAAGUUGAGGGGCAGCAUGAUAUACGCGAGUAUAUUGAUGGCGACCGGCGGACGGGUGAGUAAUAGGUAGGAGACCUACCUCAUACAGGGGGAUAGCAUAGAGAAAUCUGUGGUAAUACCCCAUGAGGUUAUAUGAAUAGAGGCAUAUAAUCAAAGCAUAAGCGAUUAUGCGGUAUGAGAGGGGCCUACUGACCAUUAGCUAGUUGGUGAGGUAAGGGCUCACCAAGGCGAAGAUGGUUAGGGGUUUUGAGAGAGAGACCCCCCACAUUGGAACUGAGAGACGGUCCAGACUCCUACGGGAGGCAGCAGCUAAGAAUAUUCCGCAAUGGACGAAAGUCUGACGGAGCGACGCCGCGUGGAUGAAGAAGGCCGAAAGGUUGUAAAGUUCUUUUGCUAGGGGAGAAUAAGUGAGGGAGGGAAUGCCCUCAUGAUGACAAGGACUAGCGAAUAAGCCCCGG